This is a ribosomal RNA of Carassius auratus (goldfish), 118 nucleotides long. NCBI's taxonomy places the organism in Eukaryota, Metazoa, Chordata, Actinopteri, Cypriniformes, Cyprinidae. The record is from Ensembl.
GCUUACGGCCAUACCAACCUGGCUAUGCCCGAUCUCGUCUGAUCUCGGAAGCUAAGCAGGUUUGGCCUGGUUAGUACUUGGAUGGGAGACCGCCUGGGAAAACCAGGUGCUGUAAGCU